CGUAGGGUGCAAGCGUUAAUCGGAAUUACUGGGCGUAAAGCGUGCGCAGGCGGUCCGCUAAGACAGAUGUGAAAUCCCCGGGCUUAACCUGGGAACUGCAUUUGUGACUGGCGGGCUAGAGUAUGGCAGAGGGGGGUAGAAUUCCACGUGUAGCAGUAGAAAUGCGUAGAGAUGUGGAGGGAAUAACCGAUAGGCGGAAGGACAGCCCCCUCGGGCCGAAUACUGACGCUCAUGCACGAAAGACGUGGGGAGGCAAACAGGAUU
This 264-nucleotide ribosomal RNA is filed under the name uncultured bacterium. RNAcentral describes it as "partial 16S ribosomal RNA". It matches the Rfam family "Bacterial small subunit ribosomal RNA", at positions 526 to 779 of the family's 1533-position model. The record is from RNAcentral.